This 877-nucleotide ribosomal RNA is filed under the name Leucaenicola sp. RNAcentral's name for it is "partial large subunit ribosomal RNA". It matches the Rfam family "Eukaryotic large subunit ribosomal RNA", at positions 65 to 962 of the family's 3401-position model. Lineage: Eukaryota; Fungi; Ascomycota; Dothideomycetes; Pleosporales; Bambusicolaceae. The record is from RNAcentral.
CCAACAGGGAUUGCCCUAGUAACGGCGAGUGAAGCGGCAACAGCUCAAAUUUUAAAUCUGGCUCCCCCGGGGUCCGAGUUGUAAUUUGCAGAGGGUGCUUUGGCGUAGGUAGCGGUCUAAGUUCCUUGGAACAGGACAUCACAGAGGGUGAGAAUCCCGUACGUGGUCGCCAACCUUCGCCGUGUAAAGCCCCUUCGACGAGUCGAGUUGUUUGGGAAUGCAGCUCUAAAUGGGAGGUAAAUUUCUUCUAAAGCUAAAUACCGGCCAGAGACCGAUAGCGCACAAGUAGAGUGAUCGAAAGAUGAAAAGCACUUUGGAAAGAGAGUCAAAUAGCACGUGAAAUUGUUGAAAGGGAAGCGCUUGCAGUCAGACUUGCCCGUAGUUGCUCACCCAGGCUCCUGCCUGGGGCACUCUUCUGCGGGCAGGCCAGCAUCAGUUUGGGCGGCCGGACAAAGACCUCUGUCAUGUAUCUUCCUUCGGGAUGACCUUAUAGGGGAGGUGUAAUGCGGCCAGCCCGGACUGAGGUCCGCGCUUCUGCUAGGAUGCUGGCGUAAUGGCUGUAAGCGGCCCGUCUUGAAACACGGACCAAGGAGUCUAACAUCUAUGCGAGUGUUUGGGUGUCAAGCCCGGGCGCGCAAUGAAAGUGAACGGAGGUGGGAACCUUAGGGUGCACCAUCGACCGAUCCUGAUGUCUUCGGAUGGAUUUGAGUAAGAGCAUAGCUGUUGGGACCCGAAAGAUGGUGAACUAUGCUUGAAUAGGGUGAAGCCAGAGGAAACUCUGGUGGAGGCUCGCAGCGGUUCUGACGUGCAAAUCGAUCGUCAAAUUUGGGCAUAGGGGCGAAAGACUAAUCGAACCAUCUAGUAGCUGGGUUCUGCG